AAGAAAUGUCCAUUUGCAGUAUGGAAAUGAUUUAUGUUUUCUAAACAGGAUGGAUCUUCCACAUACGGUGGUGGUGGACCUUAUGGUCAGGAUUCACCUUCCAUAGGAGACGGUGAAUCUGAUGAAAGUGAUUCACCCUCACCCUCGCCAUCUGGCAGCCAGCAGAGUGGAGCGGAUUUUUAUUCACCAGGAGGCAGCCAAUCAGGUGGACAUGGAUCAUCUUCUCAAGGUGGUAGUUACCCCAGUCGACAGGGCUCACCUUCGUCAGGAAGCAGCCAGUAUGGUGGGCAGGGUUCACCUUCUUCAGGAGGCAGCCAAUCUGGUGGACAGAGUGGAUGUGAUUGUUCCGGGGGGAGCUCUGGUGGAUCACCUACCUUAGCCAGAAGUGAUUCCUCUGCAAAUGGUUCAUCAUCUUCUGGAGGCAGCCAGUACAAUAGACAAGAUUCACCCUCACCCUCGCCAUCUGGCAGCCAGCAGAGUGGAGCGGGUUCCUAUUCCUCUGGAGCUAGCCAGUAUGGAGAACGGGGAUCAUCAUCUUACGGAGGCAGCAGUUACAGUGGACAGGGUUCACCCUUUUCAGGAGGAAGCCAGCAUGGUGGGCAGGGUUCACAUUUCUCAGGAGGCAGCGAGUAUGGUGGACAGGGUCCCUAUUUCUCAGGUGGCAGCCAUUAUGGAGGACAGGGUGUGGCUUCUUCAGAAAGCAACCAGUAUAGUAGACAGGGCUUUCCUUCAGGAGGAAGCCAAUCUGGUGGACAGGGUGGAUGUCUGUGUCCUGGUGGAAGUUCAGGCUCUCCUGCAGGAAGCAGCUACUAUGGUGGACAGGGUUCAUCUCWUUCUGGAAGCAGUCAGUACGGUGGGCAGGGCUCAUCUUCUGGAGGCCAACCACAUGGUAAACCAGGUUCAUCUUCCUCAGGAGGCAGACACCAAGGAAAGCCAGGGUCUUCUACUUCAGGAAACCCUUAUUCUGGUAAACAGAAUUCAUCUCCCUCAGGGGGCAGCCAAGUGAGCUCUGCUGGGAAACACUCCAGUCCUGGAGUCCUGCUGCUAUUGAGUGUUUUGAGUGCCUUUGCUGCCUCUGCUGCUAUCUCAAAGUGGUCUAUAUGAACUUCUGAAGAUGUACCUGGCAUCCUAGACAUUGAUUAUACUCUGUAAUAUUAGAUUAACUACUUGUUGUAAGAAAAAAAAUUAAGUCAAAUUGGCAUAUGUUAUUUGGCUGUUAUGUUGUAUGUCUGUUUAAUAUGCAAUGCCUCUGAUUAGUUUACCUUUAGUUUUAGUAAUUAGUAGAUGUCAUUAGUUUUAUCAGCGUUUUAGACAUCAUUUUAACAGAGCAUAUUGUGCCCUACCGAUAUGAUUUUUUUUUUAUUUCCAACUAGGAAUGUGAUGAAUACUCAAUUGAAAUUUGAUUUGUUGCUUAGAAAAUAUUUGGUUACUAACCAAAAGGAGGGGUAAGGGGGAUCAAACAAAUUGCUCUGUAUGCAAACCGAGCACUGUCACUGGUCAUCAUCACAUAAAAUGAAGCUAAUUACAAUUUCUGGUAAUCAACCCUUCAUGGGACAGAAGAAGAGAGGCUAAGAUAAUAUCCGAGUGCUGUUUUAGUGUGUUGUAGUUAAAUUCAAGUUCAAUAUGGAGGUUGCAAAGCAGAACAAAUAUUUCAUGGCUCUGAAACUUGGGGGGGGGGGGGAUGUUAAACUUCAUCCACUGGAGAAAUCAAACAGCCUAGAGCAAAGAAAUAUUAAACUCUGUUCAAACCAACUGCAAAUGCCUGGAGUUCUGUAGAGCAGCACAGAAGGCAGCGUAGUGCAGAUUAGGCUGAUAGCCUAUAAAGUGCUGGAAAACAACAUUUUCACUGGGAAUUAAUGGAAAUUUAAUUAAGUUCAUAAAACUGAUAAAAUCCUGAGAUUGGCCCCUUUUCUCAAGUAUUUUGUCUAACCUGUGAUACCUGAUGUAUCUGCAAGUUUAAUUUCAAGAAUGAUGAUACCUGAUGUAUCUGCAAGUUUAAUUUCAAGAAUGAUGCUGAAAUCUACACAGCAGUACAGUAAAUGGGGUCACAGAAAACCAUGGCCAAUCUUUGGGUUCAAAAGCAGUUCCACAUUUUGCAGCACAU
Long non-coding RNA from Dromaius novaehollandiae (emu), 2104 nucleotides. The record is from Ensembl. NCBI's taxonomy places the organism in Eukaryota, Metazoa, Chordata, Aves, Casuariiformes, Dromaiidae.